AACGAACGCUGGCGGCGGGCCUCAUACAUGCAAGUCGAGCGCGAAAGUCCGCAAGGAUGAGUAAAGCGGCGCACGGGUGAGUAACACGUGGAUAAUCUACCCUUUGGAUUGGAAUAACCUGUCGAAAGACGGGCUAAUGCCGAGUAAGCUUACGAGUUCGUGAAGUUCUUGUAAGGAAAGAUGGCGCAAGCUAUCGCCGAUGGAUGAGUCUGCGUCCCAUUAGUUAGUUGGUGGGGUAAUGGCUUACCAAGACUAUGAUGGGUACCUGGUCUGAGAGGAUGACCAGGCACACUGGAACUGAAACACGGUCCAGACUCCUACGGGAGGCAGCAGUAGGGAAUAUUGCGCAAUGGACGAAAGGUCUGACGCAGCCACGCCACGUGAGUGAGGAAGGCCUGGUGUAAGCU
RNAcentral lists this ribosomal RNA (407 nucleotides) under uncultured bacterium. RNAcentral describes it as "bacterial SSU rRNA". It matches the Rfam family "Bacterial small subunit ribosomal RNA", at positions 29 to 432 of the family's 1533-position model. The record is from RNAcentral.